This 513-nucleotide ribosomal RNA is filed under the name uncultured bacterium. Its description in RNAcentral is "partial 16S ribosomal RNA". It matches the Rfam family "Bacterial small subunit ribosomal RNA", at positions 28 to 507 of the family's 1533-position model. The record is from RNAcentral.
GACGAACGCUGGCGGCGUGCUUAACACAUGCAAGUCGAACGAAAAGAGGGAAAGAUCUUGCCCUUUACGGUAUUGAGUGGCAAACGGGUGAGUAACACGUAAACAACCUGCCUUCAGGAUGUGGACAACAGACGGAGACGACUGCUAAUACCGAAUUAGUUCAAAGAGCCGCAUGGCACAUGGAAGAAAAGGUGGCCUCUACCUGUAAGCUAUCCCCUGAGGAGGGGCUUGUGUCUGAUUUGGUGGGUUGGGAGGGAAAGGCCCACCAAGGCGACGAUCAGGAGGCCGACUGGGGGGAUGGACGGCCACACUGGAAACGAGACAAGGGCCAGACUCCUACGGGAGGGAGCAGUGGGGAAUCUUCCGGAAAUGGGGAAAGGCUGACGGGGCAACGCCGCGUGGGUGAUGACGGCCUUCGGGUUGGAAAAAUCUGGGAUCCGGGACGAAAAAGCAGAGUGCGAAGAAAAAACUGCAUUGACGGUACCGAAAAAGAAAGCCACGGCUAACUACGUG